UCUUGUAUAUCUCUAUGCAGUAUUUAAUGCCAAGAUCAUCUCAUGCAGUUAGGUUCUCAAUAAGAAUGAGGCUGCCCCAGCUAGAAGUGUUAUGUGGUUCUAAAGGAAAAGCUUUGUGAUUAUCUCAAGUCUUCGACAUAGAAAAGAAGUGUUCUAGGAAAUGUUUUGUGAUUAUCUCUUUUCAAACGCCUCUGAGCGUCAUUUCUUUGGAUCUGGAACUAGAAGUAUUUUUGGUUAAGUGAAAUACUGUUAAAUUAUCGCAAUUUUUGAUGUACAAAUGAACUAAUUGUUUUUAAUU
RNAcentral lists this long non-coding RNA (298 nucleotides) under Rosa chinensis. RNAcentral describes it as "sRNA RchiOBHm_Chr7g0184801". The record is from RNAcentral. Lineage: Eukaryota; Viridiplantae; Streptophyta; Magnoliopsida; Rosales; Rosaceae.